This 527-nucleotide long non-coding RNA is filed under the name Brassica napus (rape). RNAcentral describes it as "long non-coding RNA (BNAP_LNC026704)". Lineage: Eukaryota; Viridiplantae; Streptophyta; Magnoliopsida; Brassicales; Brassicaceae. The record is from RNAcentral.
CAGAUGCUAGAGGGUUAAUUUGAUUUAGUAUUGCUUAUUAGGCUAUAGUGGGCGGUAUUGAGUGUCCUCACUGAGUACUUUUGUAUGCUCAUGCCUCCUUUUGUGAUGCAGGUGACGAGUAGUUGAUUGGACCGGAGCGCGGGACAAUGAAGACCAUCGGGGCGAGUUUUAUUUUUUUAUAAACUUGGGAUUUCUAUUGGGUGUUUUAUGAAUCAUAUACUAUUACUCUAUAUUAUUUUCUCGGAUUUAUUAAUAAAAUUGGAGUUUUGUUUGAGUUUAUUAUUGAAAAAUUUCAUGAAUUUUUACUUAGAAUUUUUCAAGGCUUUUUCAAGAUUUAUGGGUCGGGGUGUUUCAAUUGGUAUCAGAGCGGGGUUGGCUAGCCAGUUCUGUCCUGGUUGGCUGUUUUUUUCGAAAAUGGGAUUUGUGGGUAAGGGUGGAAAGGAACCGAUGGUCUAUGUCUCGCGCGAAGGAUGUGUGGUAUGAUUUUACAAAGAUAUUUCUAGUUAUGUGUUUAUGAUUGGACUGCU